AGUGAACGCUGGCGGUAGGCCUAACACAUGCAAGUCGAACGGCAGCACAGUAAGAGCUUGCUCUUACGGGUGGCGAGUGGCGGACGGGUGAGGAAUACAUCGGAAUCUACUUUUUUGUGGGGGAUAACGUAGGGAAACUUACGCUAAUACCGCAUACGACCUGCGGGUGAAAGCAGGGGAUCUUCGGACCUUGCGCGAUUGAAUGAGCCGAUGUCGGAUUAGCUAGUUGGCGGGGUAAAGGCCCACCAAGGCGACGAUCCGUAGCUGGUCUGAGAGGAUGAUCAGCCACACUGGAACUGAGACACGGUCCAGACUCCUACGGGAGGCAGCAGUGGGGAAUAUUGGACAAUGGGCGCAAGCCUGAUCCAACCAUACCGCGUGGGUGAAGAAGGCCUUCGGGUUGUAAAGCCCUUUUGUUGGGAAAGAAAAGCAGCAGGUUAAUACCCCGCUGUUCUGACGGUACCCAAAGAAUAAGCACCGGCUAACUUCGUG
Molecule: ribosomal RNA, 492 nt
Filed under: uncultured bacterium
Lineage: Bacteria
Description: partial 16S ribosomal RNA
Rfam family: Bacterial small subunit ribosomal RNA
Source: RNAcentral